AUACUCUGGUUUCUCUUCAGAUCAUAUAAAUCUUUCGCCUUUUACUAAAGAUUUCCGUGGAUAGGAGAUACUAAAUGAAAAAAAAAAUCAGUUUGUAUCUCUAAUAUUAUUUCAUCACA
Molecule: small nuclear RNA, 119 nt
Organism: Lutra lutra (Eurasian river otter)
Lineage: Eukaryota; Metazoa; Chordata; Mammalia; Carnivora; Mustelidae
Product: U5 spliceosomal RNA
Exons: 1
Source: RefSeq, a predicted model, not a curated record